UUUAGAGACGAGAUUAUGUGCUGGCCCGUAAUUGUCUAUUUUUCAGGGAAGAAUCUUAAUUACGUCCCAAAAUAAAUUAAGAUCUGGUCCUAAAAAGAUAACCAAGAAUAAAUAUAACACUAAUAUAACAACUCUUUUGCGAAAGAAAGAGUCCGCUCAUCUCUCUUUCUCCAUUGAAAAAAAUUCCUUAACCCUAGCCCCUCAAUCUAACAAUUAUUCUUCAAUGUUUCUCCCAAAUACAAAAUUAAAACCGUCCAAGACUGUACUGGUGUUUUUCUUCCAUCGUUUCAUGUCUCUCUUAGUCAUUUGAUAGUUUUGACAGGUUUGGGGAAAAUUAGGACUGGAAAUCGACUAUUUUGACCCAGAGAACACCGUUACUUCGCCGAUUUUCAGGUUUCCUUGGUGACCCAUUAAUCUUUUUGAAUGUUGCUUUUCCUAAGAGUAAUAAGGGUAAUGACAGUCACUAUACAACAAUGGCAAAUCCGGUGGUGUGCCACUCACCGUGACAGCCUCGAUGAUUUUGCUGGAUAACACCUAAUGAAUUUAUUAGAUUGCUUUUGGGGUUUUGAAGAUUGAAUUUGACAAGACAAGAUGGAAGUUUAGAAGAUGCACAAGCUCAUUAUUUUGCUAGGAAUGUUAUGCACUCGCUAUCGUAGUCUAGCUCGAGUGUUAGCAACGUUUUUUUGUUAAGGUGUCGAGCAAAUAUUGAAACUAACAUCAUGGGAUGUUAACAAUUUUACUGUAAUUAAUAACUCUUGUCUUCCUCUUUAUAUAUAUAUAACGCUUUUGUAUCUA
Lycium barbarum (goji berry) is the source of this 795-nucleotide long non-coding RNA. RefSeq lists it as uncharacterized. The record is from RefSeq and is a predicted model, not a curated record. NCBI's taxonomy places the organism in Eukaryota, Viridiplantae, Streptophyta, Magnoliopsida, Solanales, Solanaceae. The transcript has 5 exons.